This 730-nucleotide ribosomal RNA is filed under the name uncultured bacterium. Its description in RNAcentral is "bacterial SSU rRNA". It matches the Rfam family "Bacterial small subunit ribosomal RNA", at positions 771 to 1501 of the family's 1533-position model. The record is from RNAcentral.
AACAGGAUUAGAUACCCUGGUAGUCCACGCCGUAAACGAUGUCGACUUGGAGGUUGUGCCCUUGAGGCGUGGCUUCCGGAGCUAACGCGUUAAGUCGACCGCCUGGGGAGUACGGCCGCAAGGUUAAAACUCAAAUGAAUUGACGGGGGCCCGCACAAGCGGUGGAGCAUGUGGUUUAAUUCGAUGCAACGCGAAGAACCUUACCUACUCUUGACAUCCAGAGAACUUAGCAGAGAUGCUUCGGUGCCUUCGGGAACUCUGAGACAGGUGCUGCAUGGCUGUCGUCAGCUCGUGUUGUGAAAUGUUGGGUUAAGUCCCGCAACGAGCGCAACCCUUAUCCUUUGUUGCCAGCGGUUAGGCCGGGAACUCAAAGGAGACUGCCAGUGAUAAACUGGAGGAAGGUGGGGAUGACGUCAAGUCAUCAUGGCCCUUACGAGUAGGGCUACACACGUGCUACAAUGGCAUAUACAAAGAGAAGCGACCUCGCGAGAGCAAGCGGACCUCAUAAAGUAUGUCGUAGUCCGGAUUGGAGUCUGCAACUCGACUCCAUGAAGUCGGAAUCGCUAGUAAUCGUGGAUCAGAAUGCCACGGUGAAUACGUUCCCGGGCCUUGUACACACCGCCCGUCACACCAUGGGAGUGGGUUGCAAAAGAAGUAGGCAGCUUAACCUUCGGGAGGGCGCUUACCACUUUGUGAUUCAUGACUGGGGUGAAGUCGUAACAAGGUAACC